This 105-nucleotide small nuclear RNA is filed under the name Pteropus alecto (black flying fox). RNAcentral's name for it is "U2 spliceosomal RNA". It matches the Rfam family "U2 spliceosomal RNA". Rfam says of the family: U2 is a small nuclear RNA (snRNA) component of the spliceosome (involved in pre-mRNA splicing). Complementary binding between U2 snRNA (in an area lying towards the 5' end but 3' to hairpin I) and the branchpoint sequence (BPS) of the intron results the bulging out of an unpaired adenosine, on the BPS, which initiates a nucleophilic attack at the intronic 5' splice site, thus starting the first of two transesterification reactions that mediate splicing. The record is from Rfam by way of RNAcentral. Lineage: Eukaryota; Metazoa; Chordata; Mammalia; Chiroptera; Pteropodidae.
AUUGCUUCUUGGCCUUUUGGCUAAGAUCAAGUGUAGUAUUUGUUCUUAUCAAUUUAACAUCACCACAUUUUAGAGUGUUUUCAUUGUCUUAAAAGGAAACCCUGU